This 1488-nucleotide ribosomal RNA is filed under the name Salmonella enterica. RNAcentral describes it as "partial 23S ribosomal RNA". It matches the Rfam family "Bacterial large subunit ribosomal RNA", at positions 711 to 2179 of the family's 2925-position model. Lineage: Bacteria; Pseudomonadati; Pseudomonadota; Gammaproteobacteria; Enterobacterales; Enterobacteriaceae. The record is from RNAcentral.
AGACCCGAAACCCGGUGAUCUAGCCAUGGGCAGGUUGAAGGUUGGGUAACACUAACUGGAGGACCGAACCGACUAAUGUUGAAAAAUUAGCGGAUGACCUGUGGCUGGGGGUGAAAGGCCAAUCAAACCGGGAGAUAGCUGGUUCUCCCCGAAAGCUAUUUAGGUAGCGCCUCGUGAAUUCAUCUCCGGGGGUAGAGCACUGUUUCGGCUAGGGGGCCAUCCCGGCUUACCAACCCGAUGCAAACUGCGAAUACCGGAGAAUGUUAUCACGGGAGACACACGGCGGGUGCUAACGUCCGUCGUGAAGAGGGAAACAACCCAGACCGCCAGCUAAGGUCCCAAAGUCAUGGUUAAGUGGGAAACGAUGUGGGAAGGCCCAGACAGCCAGGAUGUUGGCUUAGAAGCAGCCAUCAUUUAAAGAAAGCGUAAUAGCUCACUGGUCGAGUCGGCCUGCGCGGAAGAUGUAACGGGGCUAAACCAUGCACCGAAGCUGCGGCAGCGACGCUGAUGCGUUGUUGGGUAGGGGAGCGUUCUGUAAGCCUGCGAAGGUGGCCUGUGAGGGUUGCUGGAGGUAUCAGAAGUGCGAAUGCUGACAUAAGUAACGAUAAAGCGGGUGAAAAGCCCGCUCGCCGGAAGACCAAGGGUUCCUGUCCAACGUUAAUCGGGGCAGGGUGAGUCGACCCCUAAGGCGAGGCCGAAAGGCGUAGUCGAUGGGAAACGGGUUAAUAUUCCCGUACUUGGUGUUACUGCGAAGGGGGGACGGAGAAGGCUAUGUUGGCCGGGCGACGGUUGUCCCGGUUUAAGCGUGUAGGUGUGUGUUCCAGGUAAAUCCGGUUCACUUUAACACUGAGGCGUGACGACGAGGCACUACGGUGCUGAAGCAACAAAUGCCCUGCUUCCAGGAAAAGCCUCUAAGCAUCAGGUAACACGAAAUCGUACCCCAAACCGACACAGGUGGUCAGGUAGAGAAUACCAAGGCGCUUGAGAGAACUCGGGUGAAGGAACUAGGCAAAAUGGUGCCGUAACUUCGGGAGAAGGCACGCUGACACGUAGGUGAAGUGAUUUACUCAUGGAGCUGAAGUCAGUCGAAGAUACCAGCUGGCUGCAACUGUUUAUUAAAAACACAGCACUGUGCAAACACGAAAGUGGACGUAUACGGUGUGACGCCUGCCCGGUGCCGGAAGGUUAAUUGAUGGGGUCAGCGCAAGCGAAGCUCCUGAUCGAAGCCCCGGUAAACGGCGGCCGUAACUAUAACGGUCCUAAGGUAGCGAAAUUCCUUGUCGGGUAAGUUCCGACCUGCACGAAUGGCGUAAUGAUGGCCAGGCUGUCUCCACCCGAGACUCAGUGAAAUUGAACUCGCUGUGAAGAUGCAGUGUACCCGCGGCAAGACGGAAAGACCCCGUGAACCUUUACUAUAGCUUGACACUGAACAUUGAGCCUUGAUGUGUAGGAUAGGUGGGAGGCUUUGAAGCGUGGACGCCAGUCUGC